Molecule: long non-coding RNA, 277 nt
Filed under: Lupinus angustifolius (narrow-leaved blue lupine)
Lineage: Eukaryota; Viridiplantae; Streptophyta; Magnoliopsida; Fabales; Fabaceae
Description: long non-coding RNA (LANG_LNC000196)
Source: RNAcentral
AUGGUAAGAAUAGCACUUGGGCGCCAUUCGUAGCUUUAUUCGAUGAUGAGCAGCUUAUAGAAUUCGAGUCAAGGUGGAGAUUGUUGAGUAGUGGCUCUCAUAUAAGAAAGCUUCUUAAAGCUUCUUUACCAAGCUUCUACACAACUUGCUUGCCAAGCUUUUUCAAGCCUUAAUCUCCAAGCUUUCAAGGCUUGGUCUCCAAGGUUCUUCUACAAACCAUUUGCCUAUAAAAGGUCAGCCCUAUGAAGUGCAAAAUGUGCAUCACAAGCUUAACAAC